Molecule: long non-coding RNA, 1758 nt
Organism: Eleginops maclovinus (Patagonian blennie)
Lineage: Eukaryota; Metazoa; Chordata; Actinopteri; Perciformes; Eleginopidae
Exons: 3
Source: RefSeq, a predicted model, not a curated record
UCUCAAACAGACGUAAUCUGUGGAUCGGAGAGGCAGGCGCACAGUCGGUGGAGAGUUGGACUCGGACGGAAGUGAUGAGAAUGAAAAUACCCACUGUAGCAGGCUUGAAGAAAACGCAUCAGUCCACCUCGACCGGAGUCUGAAUCCUGCAGUUUAACCUGCAGCCAGGGAAGGGAAAUUGCGUGUUCACAAUGCGCCUCUUGAAUCUGUGACUCCAUGAAGAUUAUUUCCAUCAGAUCCUGUUAUGGACGAUUUUGAAGUGAAGAUGAAUGAAGUUCCUCUGAUUAAUGAGGCGGUGGUAAAGCAAUAAAGCAGAUCCUCUCAGUUUGUGGACCAGCUUCAGGACACAUCAUGAUCAUGUACAACAUAAGCAGAAGCAUGUUUGCCCUGUGGACAGUGGACUCAUUCUGCCACUGUCCUGUUUCAUUAUGUCCCUUUGCUGUGUGUCCUGACCUCUGGGCUUUGAGUGACGUACUCGGCUCCUUCCCUGUCCCUCUGUCCUCCUUCCUCCACAUCCGGCCUCGUCUUGUCACCUUGGCUCACACUCUGAGUCCUGCUUGCCUCGGUGAACAUUCAACGCUGUCGGUGAGUUUUGAUAUGGAUCACAUAAAAACCAUCGACCGUUGACUGUGCCCCGAGGCUUGCUCUGACGACGUUUGCAAUGAGCAAAAAAAUGAACAAAAGGGCAAGUGGGCACAUGCAAAAUCUAGAUACGAAGCCACACAGACAUGCACAGACAAAAGUAACACUCUGUUUCCACUGUACCCAAAGACCAAAGGUCACAAUCAACAUUCAUUGCUGUCGCUGGGUUGGACUGUGUAGAAAGCUCACUGAACAAUGAGUGCAACUGUGGCCCAGAUCUGCCUGACUCGCAUCUCAGCCAAUCAGCAGACCGGAUGUGAAACACUGAUUUCUUUAUUUAUAUACUUCUUGUUUUUCACUUCUAUUUUAUCCUCUCUUCCUCCCUCCCCGGUGCUGGAUAGUGUUCAGUGGAAGAGAGAAAAAGAAAAAGAGAGAUGGACACAAAUAGACUUCUGGCGGCUUGCUUGUCCUCAUCCUCCUCUCCUCUCCUCUAAUUGGUGGUUAUGUGUGCAGCAAGGGGGAAGGAAGUGGAGUGAAUGUGUAAUCAUUUGGAGUCUCUUCUUCUUUAGAUGUUUCAUCCCUCUCUUUUUUGUUUGUCUAAUUAUACACCGAGCUCAGUUAACUCUGUGUUAACUCUGCCAGCAAGAACGAGCGAGAGACAAAGAGAGGAAGGACAAGGGCAAACAAAAAAUAGUGGAAAGAUUAUAGCACAUGAAAAUAAUUAUCUAGUUUUUAGUUUAUUCAUUCUCAUAUGCUUCCUGGUCUUACUUCAGAUGGGCCAGGAUAUAAGCAAUUUUCAAAGGCAGAUAGUUCUCACCUCUCUGAGGAUGUCUCAUUAUCUGUGUUUGAGCUUUGUGUGUGUGUGUGUGUGUGUGCCAUGAUAAAAGACCUGUCUGCUCAUCCCAGAGUGCAAUAUGUUAUUUUAUUUUCAUACUAAAGCAGACUGCUCUCUCGUGGGAAAAUACACAAGUCUAUAACCUUGUCUUCCUGCAGAUAGUGUGACCGGACACACUGCUGCCAUUUCUCUUUUGCCCUCUACAACAACUGUCUGACGCUGUGCACUGUAUCUGUAUUUCAUAUAUUGUAAACAUAGUUGAGAUAUAUCAAGGAAUGUGUUGAAGAAAGCAUGUCUGAUUCUUUAAUUAAUCCAAUAAAGUUAAAUCAAUAUCCAUGUAA